This 800-nucleotide ribosomal RNA is filed under the name Halomonas sp. Its description in RNAcentral is "bacterial SSU rRNA". It matches the Rfam family "Bacterial small subunit ribosomal RNA", at positions 51 to 849 of the family's 1533-position model. The record is from RNAcentral. Lineage: Bacteria; Pseudomonadati; Pseudomonadota; Gammaproteobacteria; Oceanospirillales; Halomonadaceae.
ACACAUGCAGUCGAGCGGUAACAGAUCUAGCUUGCUGGAUGCUGACGAGCGGCGGACGGGUGAGUAAUGCAUAGGAAUCUGCCCGAUAGUGGGGGAUAACCUGGGGAAACCCAGGCUAAUACCGCAUACGUCCUACGGGAGAAAGGGGGCUCCGGCUCCCGCUAUGGGAUGAGCCUAUGUCGGAUUAGCUAGUUGGUGAGGUAACGGCUCACCAAGGCCACGAUCCGUAGCUGGUCUGAGAGGAUGAUCAGCCACAUCGGGACUGAGACACGGCCCGAACUCCUACGGGAGGCAGCAGUGGGGAAUAUUGGACAAUGGGGGCAACCCUGAUCCAGCCAUGCCGCGUGUGUGAAGAAGGCCCUCGGGUUGUAAAGCACUUUCAGCGAGGAAGAACGCCUAGCGGUUAAUACCCGCUAGGAAAGACAUCACUCGCAGAAGAAGCACCGGCUAACUCCGUGCCAGCAGCCGCGGUAAUACGGAGGGUGCAAGCGUUAAUCGGAAUUACUGGGCGUAAAGCGCGCGUAGGUGGCUUGAUAAGCCGGUUGUGAAAGCCCCGGGCUCAACCUGGGAACGGCAUCCGGAACUGUCAAGCUAGAGUGCAGGAGAGGAAGGUAGAAUUCCCGGUGUAGCGGUGAAAUGCGUAGAGAUCGGGAGGAAUACCAGUGGCGAAGGCGGCCUUCUGGACUGACACUGACACUGAGGUGCGAAAGCGUGGGUAGCAAACAGGAUUAGAUACCCUGGUAGUCCACGCCGUAAACGAUGUCGACCAGCCGUUGGGUGCCUAGCGCACUUUGUGGCGA